This 119-nucleotide ribosomal RNA is filed under the name Gadus morhua (Atlantic cod). Lineage: Eukaryota; Metazoa; Chordata; Actinopteri; Gadiformes; Gadidae. The record is from RNAcentral.
GUUUACGGCCAUACCACCUUAGGCACGCCCGAUCUCGUCUGAUCUCGGAAGCUAAGCAGGGUCGGGCCUAGUUAGUACUUGGCUGGGUGACCGCCUGGGAAUACCAGGUGCUGUAAGCA